UACGAACCGUCCAAACGUUAUUCGGAAUCACUGGGCUUAAAGGGUGCGUAGGCGGCCCGGUAAGUUGGGUGUGAAAUCCCACGGCUCAACCGUGGAAUUGCGCCCAAGACUGCCGGGCUCGAGGGAGAUAGAGGUGAGCGGAACUUAGGGUGGAGCGGUGAAAUGCGUUGAUAUCCUAAGGAACACCGGUGGCGAAAGCGGCUCACUGGGUCUCUUCUGACGCUGAGGCACGAAAGCUAGGGGAGCGAAC
RNAcentral lists this ribosomal RNA (250 nucleotides) under uncultured bacterium. Its description in RNAcentral is "partial 16S ribosomal RNA". It matches the Rfam family "Bacterial small subunit ribosomal RNA", at positions 524 to 773 of the family's 1533-position model. The record is from RNAcentral.